AAAGGAAUAGACGGGGACCCGCACAAGCAGCGGAGCAUGUGGUUUAAUUCGAAGCAACGCGAAGAACCUUACCAGGGCUUGACAUGCCCUUGACCGUCCUAGAGAUAGGAUUUUCCCUUCGGGGACAAGGGACACAGGUGGUGCAUGGUUGUCGUCAGCUCGUGUCGUGAGAUGUUGGGUUAAGUCCCGCAACGAGCGCAACCCUUGCUUCUAGUUGCCAUCAUUAAGUUGGGCACUCUAGAGGGACUGCCGAUGAUAAAUCGGAGGAAGGUGGGGAUGACGUCAAAUCAUCAUGCCCUUUAUGUCCUGGGCUACACACGUGCUACAAUGGUCGGUACAACGAGCAGCUACCUAGUGAUAGGAUGCAAAUCUCUAAAAGCCGAUCCCAGUUCGGAUUGCAGGCUGCAACUCGCCUGCAUGAAGUCGGAGUUGCUAGUAAUCGCGAAUCAGAAUGUCGCGGUGAAUGCGUUCCCGGGUCUUGCACACACCGCCCGU
This 495-nucleotide ribosomal RNA is filed under the name uncultured bacterium. RNAcentral describes it as "bacterial SSU rRNA". It matches the Rfam family "Bacterial small subunit ribosomal RNA", at positions 903 to 1397 of the family's 1533-position model. The record is from RNAcentral.